UUUUUUUUUUUUUUUUUAACCCAGUAGUAGCCUAAAGCAAUGACUCCCAAGCGAUAGAGAAGGGAAGCUUAUCUUUUAAAUUAUAAUUUGGGGGGGAGGGCGCUGCUUUUUUGAGAUUUUAAGCUAAGCAUGUGUAAUUUCUUGUGAAGAAGCCAACACUUAAAUGACUUUUGAAGUUGUUUACUUUUUUUUGUAGUUUUUUUAUUUUAUUUUUUUAUUUUUUCAUUUUUUACCUUGUUUCUUUUCCUUUGGUCCUGAAAUAAACAGUGGCAUGCUGGGGGUUUCUUUGGGGAGGGUUGGGUGGGGGGGAGUGGAUGUACAGCGGAUAACAAUCUUUAAAGUUGUAGCACUUUGUUUCAGAAUCAGAAUGGAGAUGUAGCACUGAUGGCCUGUCCUGAGUCACAGAGGCCUUUCCUGUGUUGAUUUCAAACCUUUACAUUUUAUAAGGAAACGUUUCAGUGGUGGCGGUGGGGGGGGGGGGGAAGAGAGCUAGAGGACCCCCCACCCCCACCCCAUGAAACUCAGCACUGCCAGAGAAAUAGGAAUUUUUGAGAGCUGCCGGGGAGAUGGCCCGAGAGCAUGCUCUGGUUGUGCAUCACCAGUAGGUACUGUCCUUUCCUCGGAGUGUCCUUGUGCCUGGGAUGCCAUCUGCGUUCUUGGCUGUGGAUUAGGCUUAAUAAAAUGGGCAGAGGGUACUUUUCUUGGGUAGAUGGAGGUGACCUGCAGUGACAUAGAAAGGAAGGGACCAGUGGUAUUCUUUCAGGCUUCUUCUGGCUUGAUGGCUUCUCUCUCAAUCUCUCUCUCUCUCUCUUCAUCACCACCCCCCGCCACAAAAAUCCCAAGUCGUAUGUUUCUACCAGUGAUGAUUGACCAUGUCUUAAGCAGACAAGUGCCCCAAUGAGGUGAACGGAGAGAAGGCGGUAUUCUCUCAUUGAAUGCACACUGAUGACAUUGUAUGGAGGGGGGUGGGGGAGGAUCUUGCGAAUUUCUGUUCCCCUUUGACCGGAAAAGCAGGGAAAGAGUUCCAUCCGAAGGUGCCCAGCGCUACUUCCCCAAUUUUUUUUUUUCCCCUAUCCCAUUAGGUUGGAAGGUACUAAACAUUGAACUGUCAAGAUUAGACAUUCGAAUUCUGUUGACCCGCACUUUAAAGCUUUUGUUUGCAUUUAAAUUAAAUGGCUUCUAAACAAGAAAUUGCAGCAUAUUCUUGUCUUUGGCCCAGAGGUGGGUUAACCUGUAAGGACGGCUGAGAUUGAGUGUCAGUGUUGCUAAGCGUGGCAUUCACAAUACUGACACUAUAAAGAAGAAAAUAAAAUAAUUUAUUGGACGGUUUUUCUACUGCCAUUCAAUUCGAUGUGAGUGCCUUGAAAACUGAUCUUCCUAUUUGAGUCUCUUGAGACCAAUGCAAAACUUUUUUUUUUUUUUUUUUAAAAUGAAAAGACUUUUUAAAAGAGUAAAACAAGAAAAGUACAUUCUUUAGACACAAACAAAGCCACAUUUCCUUUUCAUUAAAUUAAAAAAAAAAAAAUCCUGGUUGAAGAUAGAGGACAUGAAAAUGCCAUAAGACCCAAUCAAAUGAAGAGAUAAGCCCAGCACAACCGCGGACAUCCUUAGCUGAAUUACCCUCAACCCCUUUUGUUUGUGGGACAACGCUGCUUAGAUUUGGCGUGGAGGUGAUUUACUGCUGAAUUAAAACUCAAGUGACACAAGUUACACGUUGAUAUCGUUGAAUGAAAAACAAAAAUUCAGGAACAACGGCUAAUUUCUUUUCUAAAGUUAAAUUUAGUGCACUCUGUCUUAAAAAUACGUUUACAGUAUUGGAUACAUACAAGGGUAAAAAAAAAAUUGUGUGUAUGUGUGUUGGAGCGAUCUUUUUUUUUUUUUUUUUCCAAGUUUGCUUACUAGGUUAUAAGAAAAUGCCACAGUGGCUGCGUGUAUAUUGUUUUCUUUUUGGUGACGGGGUUUUAGUAUAUAUUAUAUAUAUUAAAAUUUCUUGAUUACUGUACAAGUGGACCAGUAUUUGUAAUAAUCGAGAAUGCCUGGGCAUUUUACAAAACAAGAAAAAAAAAAAAACCCUUUUCUUUUCCUUGAAAAUGUUGCAGUAAUUUUAAAUGGUGGGUCUAUCAAUUUGUUCUUGUCACAGUAACUGUAAAGUCGGAGUUUUAGUAAAUUCUUUUCUGCCUUGGGUGUUGAAUUUUUAUUUCAAAAAAAAAUGUAUAGAAACUUGUAUUUGGGGAUUAAAAGGGGAUUGCUACACCAUGUAGAAAAAGUAUGUAGAAAAAAAAGUGCUUAAUAUUGUUAUUGCUUUGCAGAAAAAAAAAAUCACAUUUCUGACCUUUACUUAUUUUUCUCUCCCUGCCCCCCUCUGGAAUGGAUAUAUUGGUUGGUUCAUAUGAUGUAGGCACUUGCUGUAUUUUUACUGGAGCUUGUAAUUUUUUAACUGUAAGCUUGUCCUUUUAAAGGGAUUUAAUGUACCUUUUUGUUAGUGAAUUUGGAAAUAAAAAGAAAAAAAAAAACAAAAACAAACAGGCUGCCAUAAUAUAUUUUUUUAAUUUGGCAGGAUAAAAUAUUGCAAAAAAAAAAUUUGUAUGUUUAGUCCUAUUGUACAGGAGAAAAAGGGUUGUUUGACAACCUUUGAGGAAAAGAAACAAAAAGCAAGUCGUUAAAUGCUUUGGCUCACAGAUCAUUUUAGUUGUAUAUAUUUUUGUCGGAAUUGGCCUAUACAAAGGACUGUGGGAUCAGGGCUUCUCCUCCGAACGCCCCGAACCUUGCAUCAAGGCUCCCUGGUGUGGCCACAGCAGACCGGAUGGGAAAUUUCUUUAUUCGUGUUGAGUGGAGAAAUCCGUUUUUGUAAAGAUGUCGGUAACAUUUCACAGAGUCCUCUCGUUCCCCAAGAGGCCAUCUGUAGGAUGUCAGGUGUUAGGAGAGAGCGGGAGAGCGUCCCCUUCUCUCCUGUCCCCACUGUGGCCAGUCACCCCGUCCCCCGCCCACCCUUAAGUGCAGAAAGGAACGCAAACCCGAGCUUCCUCUAGUCCCUGAGAAAACAUUAAACAGACAAAAGGCGCUGGUGGAUCAGCCAGGCACGGGGGCCGGGGACGCGAGACCAGCGGACACCGGGUGUCAGGAAGGAGUCCCCGUCACCACCAGGGCCUGGCACUCGUGGAGAGUGUUGGCCUCUUGUCUUUCUUCCCUGCUCUGCUGCUUUUCUCGCUGAAACCUGCGUCCGUCAGUGUCUGAGUGCCGAGGGCCUGGGAUGAAUUCGGUGCCUUUCCAGAGCUCUCUCCUUCCUCUGUUUCCUACCUGCCCCCCCCCCCCCAUCUCCAGCCCCUUGUCAAUCCUUUCUUUUGUCCUCUUCAUUUUUAUUUAAUUCUUUAAUUUCUCUUCUUUCUCCCCCUGUGUCCCCCCCCCCUUUUUUUUUGUAAAGCCAAGUAGCUUUAAGAUAAUAAAAGUGGUGGUUUUUUGGAUGAGGGAAUAAUAACAUUUUUUUUUUAAUGAAACCUAUAUCAGGAAGCCUUUUUUUUUUUUUUUUUUUUUAAUUUCAGGAACUGUAAAACCAUUCCUUCAAGGUUAGGAAAGGAUAACCAAGCAUCUUUUGGGGCAGUUCGUUACCAAAUGCAGAAAUCUUUCUUCCGGGAGCUCUUCUGUUUCCGUACGCCCUCCCCUCCUUUGCCACUGACCUUUGCCAAGUGAACAGAGAAAAAGCGGAGAUGUCAGUUUCCCACCUGCCCGACCUGGACACCCCCCCCCCCGGGGGACCACCCUUUCCGGGGAGGGGGUGGGGGACCACCCUCCGAAGGUCCUGGAGAGCCUCCAAGGUGGUCCUCCUGUAGUUGCGAAAGCUAGCCAGCCCUCACCAGCUUCCACAAAGUCACCAGAAUGCCAGGACUAAGCCAUCCUAAAGCACAACGAUUGUGUCUCUGUCGUCUGCAGAGAAAAGAGCAUUAUGCUUCUCUUUCAUGUUUAAAAAGCCAGCACUGGAGCAGAGGAGACCCCAGUGAGAGAGGCCCCGAGCCUGGGUGACCCAGCCGACCCCAGGCUGGUUUCCAUACUGCCACAACUUUGUUCAAAGUUGCCCCCAAAUUGGAACCUGCCACCCGCCAGUAGAGGGUCUUUCGUGGGGAGAGGAGAAGGCUGAAGUACUCUAAGCAAAAUGUGAAAAGGAAGGAAGUCAGCCUUUCAUCCCGGUCCGUAGCAAAGGUUUUGUUGCGCACAGGCAAACCGUGAUUUUGGUGCUCUUUGUAUCUCAACCCUGCAAAGCAAAGUUACAUUGAUUUAAGUUGUUUGCAUUUGUACUGGCGAGGCGAAAUAUUUUUAUUACCUUUUCUAUUACUUAUUGUAUGAGCUUUUGUUGUUUACUUGGAGGUUCUGUCUUUUACUACAAGUUUGGAACUAUUUAUUAUUGCUUGGUAUUUGUGCUCUGUUUAAGAAACGGGCACUUUUUUUUUUAUUAUGGAUAAAAUGUUGAGAUGACAGGAGGUCAUUUCAAUAUGGCUUAGUAAAAUAUUUAUUGUUCCUUUUAUUCUCUGUACAAGAUUUUGGGCCUCUUUUUUCCCUUAAUGUCACAAUGUUGAGUUCAGCAUGUGUCUGCCAUUUCAUUUGUACGCUUGUUCAAAACCAAGUUUGUUCUGGUUUCAAGUUAUAAAAAU
This 4643-nucleotide long non-coding RNA is filed under the name Canis lupus familiaris (dog). Its description in RNAcentral is "lncRNA (ENSCAFG00000058143.1)". Lineage: Eukaryota; Metazoa; Chordata; Mammalia; Carnivora; Canidae. The record is from RNAcentral.